This is a long non-coding RNA of Poecilia latipinna (sailfin molly), 2597 nucleotides long. RefSeq lists it as uncharacterized. The transcript has 3 exons. NCBI's taxonomy places the organism in Eukaryota, Metazoa, Chordata, Actinopteri, Cyprinodontiformes, Poeciliidae. The record is from RefSeq and is a predicted model, not a curated record.
GCAGUUCCACCAGAGGUUUGCUAAUUUCUGCUGGCUAGUCUGAAGGACCUGGGGGGGAGAGGGGGGGGGUUCCUCUGAGUCCUCUGCCUUUUCAGCUGUUAGUUGCGAUUAAAAUAUUUAUGAAACAUGAAGGAAUGAAGGGAAAAACCCCAGAUGUGUCUUUGAUUAAUAUAAAUGAAGAAUAAGAUUAUAACAUGAAAGGUGAAACCGGUUGGUUUAACCUGAUACUGGCCCUUUAAAUGAACGGAUCCUCUUGGUGCUUUAGCCUCUAUGGAACAGGUUCAGUAAAUUCUGGAGUAUUUGGGCCAGAACUCAGGGAUGUUGAUGAGAUGUGGAACUGCAGCAGGAUUUCUGUCCUGUUUGUUUAGUCAGCAUCUGUUUCUCCACAUCAUUCAGCAGUUAAAGCUUCUCAGCACUGAGUUUUUCAUCCCUGCUGAAGCUGCAGAGCCUCUAAUGACACCUGGAGACACAAACACCUGCAGACAGAGCUGAGACUCCAACACAAACAAAAUAAUUAUGACAUGAAGAAACUCCUGAUAUGAAACAUGGUGAAAUAGUUCAGGAUGUUUUUGUUCCUUUGGAAACUAAAACUCAUCUUUUCACAUAGAAAUGAAUAUUUCAGCCUUUUUUCUGGUUCUGGAUCUCAGAGAAGAAAAACAAACAUUUAGUGUCUGGGGAAAAGGCGCCCCCUGGUGGUGAUGCCUCAUCAUUUCUAAGACCUAAACGGUAAGAAUGACUUAUAAUCAGUUUUAUUUUUCUGGCUCUGCUGCUGAUUCUUUGACAUUAUGAGAUUCUUCCAAAACUUUGUAAAACCAUUUCUGAUCAGUGAUGUCAGCGACUCCAUUUGUUUCUAUCAAACCAAACUCGUCUUUUCCUCCUCGGCUAAUUAAAACUGAACAAUGAAAUAAAAACUGAUGGAAGUGAAACUAAAAGCAGCUGCAGACAGAAAUCAGCAGGUUUCACUCAGACCAGGAUCCAAACUCUGAGGUUUGAUUUAAUGUUUCACUUUUAGUUUGAUUCUCAUUUGAAGCAGAAGUUUCUUCAUUUUGUCUCUUUGGUCAGGCUGACUGUCUGCAGCGUUGGGGCAGAGGUCACAGGGGUCACAGGGGUCACAGAGGUCACAGGGGUCACAGGGGUCAGCGGCUCUGACCUUCACACAGAGCCCUGCUGAUGUUCCUCUGAUCUGUUUGUUGUGGAAACUUCUGCCUGGAUCGUUUUGUUCUGUAAAUAAAGUGAUGCUGGUUCAGACGUGGGACUGAGGCUGGAUUCACUGAGCUGGGAUGAAACUUGUUCUCCUUCUCCUCCUUCUUUCCCAGAUUUCCCACAAAUGUCAAAAUGAGGAAGAUGGAGCCUCGUGUAUCAGAAUGAAGGAUCCUGGAGUCAAACAACGACGAACAGAAACGUCCUUCAGUCGAAUCUGUCGGUUCAUCCAGAUGUUUUCUUUCUGUUUAGUUUUGAAGAGUCUGUAGUGAAGUGAUUCAUGCGAAGUGUAAUGUCCUUUAGCAACAUGGCUGAGACACCAACAGACCCACCAGGGAGAUCAGCAGCAGACAAACCUGGCUGGAUUAAAGCAGUAGAGGAGAAACGAUCUGUUACUGUGGAAUGAGAACCAGCUGGUGGAAAUAAAUAACUCAGAUUACAUUUGGCACACACAUUCAAUACUGUUUUUUGUUUCAGUACAUAUUUCCUGGAAUUUCUCCCCUCCAAAUCUGACAGGGCUGCACCACAGCGCCUCCGGUGGUCUGGAUGUAGAGAGGAUCCGUCCAGCUGCCGCCAUGCUGACGAUCUGAUCCGGUCAGAAAUCAUCUGAUCACAUCCUGGACCUUCAGAGCGUGAUGACACGUUCAUCCUGGGGUUAAACUACAGAUCAGGAACAGUUCCAGGAAUCUCCAGGAAGUUCUGAAUAAAUGAGGAAUCAAACAUCCUGACUGAGAAACAGAAGAGAAACAUUUUCUGGUUCUGAUCAAUUAAUAAUAAUGUGAUUAUUGAUCAAAUGAAGCUCAGGAUGAGUUCAGGUCUUCUCGCCUCAUUGGUUCUGUUGGCAGAAAUCCAGACAUUGAUCUGAUCCAAACAUCCAUCAAGUCCCAGCAGGAUGAGCGGGAACACGGAGCGCUUCCCAGAAACUAUUUCUCUGGAAUGUGGGAAUUUUCUGGAGGGGAUUUUUUAAUCUGCUGCUGAUUUUCUACCAUCUUUAACGAGAUCAGAACAGAUUCUCCUCUGGAUGCGUAACAACAUGCAGCUGUUACGAUAAAAAUGUUAAACCGAUAAAAUCUUCAGAGAGCAGAAAUGUAUUCAGAAGGUCUGAAUAAAGUGAAACAUCUUUGUUCACCAGUCAGCAGGUCCGUUUGUCCGUCUGAACGUCCAGAACAGGAACCAUCAGAUCAAACUGGAACCAGUUAUCAGUUUGAUUCCUGGUUCCAGUUCACCUGACAGGCGCUGAUCCUCUCAGCCUCCCAUCAUGUCAGAACGAUCUGAGUUUUAUCAGGAUUUUAUGGGAGGAAAAUGAUGAAGGCCAAAAGUAUUCAUACUCCUGACAGAUUUGGGUUUAAAGGAUCAUUUUUAUUUCACCGUCAUUUUCCUCCCACAAAAACCUGAUA